AAAUGAUAUAAAAUGAUAUAAUGUUUCUUGAAGCAGGUGGAAAAUAUUUAACUUUUCAUAAAAUAUUAUGCUUAGAUAUAAAUAUCAAUCAUUUAAUUAAAUUGUUUAAACCAGUAUUUUUCAAAACUGUGGGGUAUGUCCCACUAAGGGGCACUAAUCUAUCUCAAGGGGAGCCCAAGAGGAACAAAAAUAUCAUUUUUGAAUUAAACAAACAAAAAAAUAAUAAAUUCAAAUUGUUAUUAAAAAAAUCAAUAAAAGGAUUAUAAAUACAUAUAUUCAUGUACCCAGAAACUUUCUGCUGUAG
RNAcentral lists this long non-coding RNA (304 nucleotides) under Androctonus crassicauda. Lineage: Eukaryota; Metazoa; Arthropoda; Arachnida; Scorpiones; Buthidae. The record is from RNAcentral.